Molecule: small nuclear RNA, 107 nt
Filed under: Cervus hanglu yarkandensis (Yarkand deer)
Lineage: Eukaryota; Metazoa; Chordata; Mammalia; Artiodactyla; Cervidae
Source: RNAcentral
GUGCUCACUUUGGCAGCACAUAUACUAAAACUGGAAUGAUACAGAGAAGAUUAGCAUGGCCCCUGCACAAGGAUGACACACAAAUUCGUGAAGCGUUCCAUAUUUUU